This 836-nucleotide ribosomal RNA is filed under the name Streptomyces sp. IM-7363. Its description in RNAcentral is "bacterial SSU rRNA". It matches the Rfam family "Bacterial small subunit ribosomal RNA", at positions 38 to 889 of the family's 1533-position model. The record is from RNAcentral. Lineage: Bacteria; Bacillati; Actinomycetota; Actinomycetes; Kitasatosporales; Streptomycetaceae.
GGCGGCGUGCUUAACACAUGCAAGUCGAACGAUGAACCACUUCGGUGGGGAUUAGUGGCGAACGGGUGAGUAACACGUGGGCAAUCUGCCCUUCACUCUGGGACAAGCCCUGGAAACGGGGUCUAAUACCGGAUAUCACUCCUGCAGGCAUCUGUGGGAGUCGAAAGCUCCGGCGGUGAAGGAUGAGCCCGCGGCCUAUCAGCUUGUUGGUGAGGUAGUGGCUCACCAAGGCGACGACGGGUAGCCGGCCUGAGAGGGCGACCGGCCACACUGGGACUGAGACACGGCCCAGACUCCUACGGGAGGCAGCAGUGGGGAAUAUUGCACAAUGGGCGAAAGCCUGAUGCAGCGACGCCGCGUGAGGGAUGACGGCCUUCGGGUUGUAAACCUCUUUCAGCAGGGAAGAAGCGAAAGUGACGGUACCUGCAGAAGAAGCGCCGGCUAACUACGUGCCAGCAGCCGCGGUAAUACGUAGGGCGCAAGCGUUGUCCGGAAUUAUUGGGCGUAAAGAGCUCGUAGGCGGCUUGUCACGUCGGGUGUGAAAGCCCGGGGCUUAACCCCGGGUCUGCAUUCGAUACGGGCUAGCUAGAGUGUGGUAGGGGAGAUCGGAAUUCCUGGUGUAGCGGUGAAAUGCGCAGAUAUCAGGAGGAACACCGGUGGCGAAGGCGGAUCUCUGGGCCAUUACUGACGCUGAGGAGCGAAAGCGUGGGGAGCGAACAGGAUUAGAUACCCUGGUAGUCCACGCCGUAAACGGUGGGAACUAGGUGUUGGCGACAUUCCACGUCGUCGGUGCCGCAGCUAACGCAUUAAGUUCCCCGCCUGGGGAGUACGGCCGC